This 381-nucleotide ribosomal RNA is filed under the name Triticum aestivum (bread wheat). RNAcentral's name for it is "partial small subunit ribosomal RNA". Lineage: Eukaryota; Viridiplantae; Streptophyta; Magnoliopsida; Poales; Poaceae. The record is from RNAcentral.
AUGGUGCCGGGGUUCACCAAGUUUGAUGUGGAGAAAUUCGAUGGCACGGGUAACUUCGGUCUAUGGCAGACAAGAGUCAAGGAUAUUCUGGCGCAGCAGGGAAUCUUGAAGGGUUUGCAGGAGACAAAGCCGGCCAAGGUUGACAGUGAUGCGUGGGAGGAUAUGCAAGUGCAGGCGGCCGCUACCAUACGGCUUUGUCUUGCGGAUAAGGUCAUGUAUCAUAUCAUGGACGAAGAUUCUCCUAAGGGAAUUUGGGACAAGUUGGCAAAUCGCUAUAUGUCCAAGUCAGCAACCAAUAAGCUGUAUUUGAAGCAAAAGUUCUAUGGGCUGAAGAUGCAGGAGGGGUCGGAUCUUGUGGAUCAUGUGAAUGCCUUUAUUCAA